CUUCUUCUCAUCCCUCCUGUCUCACUCUCGUCUUCUCUUCAUUCUCUUCUCUCCUAGAAAUCUCAACUAUAUCCUUCAACAUCGCGCUUUGGGAAUUUCUCUCUCUCCAGAGCCCAGUCCUCAUUGUCCCUAAUUUCACUUCUCUCUCUGUAAAUCAACCCUAAAUCUUCCAUCUCUAAACCCUCAAUGGAUCCGACACCUUCUUCUACCAAAUCCAAUCACAGCCACCAAAACCUAACCAAAACCCCAUAACCCAGCCAUCAACUCCAGUUCUUAAAAGCCUACCCGUCACCAAACCCCGAGUCAACCCUAAAAGAAUCUCCGUCGGAGCACCCGGACGAAUUCUUCGCUCGAAUCCAAGACUAGAAGCUAAAGAAGAAGGCCUCCACGUUCCUCUUGGCCCCAAUUGAUGCCUCUAGAGAGAGCCUCCUCACGGCUCAUCGAUUACUCAGUACGUCUCUUUCUCGAAAUGGAUUAAUUUGGUUGUUUGUUUUGACAGUGGAUGGUACGAAUCAGUGUUGUUAUCAGGUAUUGCGCUGUGGAAGACCGGAGUUCAUUCGUUGCUUUUCAAGCCAAUACCAGUGUUGUUAUCAGCUUGGUCUGAGAUGCAGAACAUGACGUUGCCAGGUUAAAGGCUGCAUGCAGAUAAUCAUAGUGUGCAUGUCUUGACACGUUCUAGAUCAAAGGCUGAGUUAAUUGUUCCGGGUAAGAAGUCGGGAACUUUCCAGGAAUCGUAAUUGCAGAGGAGCCAGAGUGGAAAGAUAGCAUUCGAGGUUCAAUUGGUGUUGUAAAUAUGGCUGGAAUGCCCAUUAGUACAAGAUGGACUUCUGUGGUUUACUACCUUUACCUUUCUUUUGGUUAUCCUACCUGUCUUUUUACAGUAAGUAGUGACAAUAUGAAAAGAAGUUCUCGAUAACUCUUGUUUUGUUACUUUAUAGUAAGCAUACAUCAAGUACUCAUUACAGAUAUAGAGAUGGUAAAAGAAAUUAGCCUGCGUACAUCUUUGAGCUUGGGGAUUUCCUUUUAUCUAGCUAAGGACCGCUAGCCACUAUUCGACCAAGGCAUUCUAGCUUCAAAUGGUAUGGUAGGCCUCAUGUGAGCUGUACCCGUCCCAAGCCUCCCAGAAAGGUCCCCAAGUCACCUCAUAAGGUUGGAAGUAGUUCUUUUGUUCAUAGUGUACCUUGCUUAUGGAUAUGAUGAUGGCAGUGCUCUAUCAUACAUUCUUCUUACAAUGACCAGUUGGUUCAUGGCACUUUCUUGGCUUUUUGCUCCCUAUUUGUUCAACCCAUGCCCAUCUGGGUUUGAGUGGCAGAACUGAAAGAUUGGUGGGCAUUUGGGUGGAGUUUGCUUAGUCUACAUUACGUGAAAUUAAAAGAACUUUUUGUUUCUGGGGAGCGCAAAUGUUUCCAAAGAUUGAUUGGAAUACUAUUGCAGUUGAGAUUAUUGAUUUGCUGGGUAUUUGAAAACAGAGAGAUAAAGUCAUUUAUAUGAGAUAUUGAAAGCCUGGAUGAAGUGAAGAAGAGGUUCAAGGAAGAGUAGUUGUUCAGCCUUUAGUGAUAUUGUUCUCAAUGUUGUUCUUGUGUUUUAAUGUAUGAAUGAUUG
RNAcentral lists this long non-coding RNA (1602 nucleotides) under Rosa chinensis. RNAcentral's name for it is "sRNA RchiOBHm_Chr5g0000701". The record is from RNAcentral. Lineage: Eukaryota; Viridiplantae; Streptophyta; Magnoliopsida; Rosales; Rosaceae.